Molecule: long non-coding RNA, 363 nt
Organism: Calidris pugnax (ruff)
Lineage: Eukaryota; Metazoa; Chordata; Aves; Charadriiformes; Scolopacidae
Exons: 3
Source: RefSeq, a predicted model, not a curated record
CAGCUCACUCUUAUCAUCAUCGUUUCAACACAGUCUGCAGCCAGGUUUGUCAAGGAGGAUUUGCCCUUUCCAUCCACACGUGACUGGAAAUGAUUUCCAGGAGGACAUGCUCCAUGAUCUUUCCAGGUACUGAGGGAUGGUGCCUCAACCACUUCCCUGGGUGGGAAUGAUGGCAGAAGCAAAGCUGCACAUCCAGAUACCACACGAGGAGAGCAAAGCAUUUCUGCAGUGCUGGAGAAGCUGCACAAGGAAAUAUGCAGAAUAGAGGCUGGCCUUGGUUUCCUUGCUGCCCCUGGUUCACUGCAGACCAUCAAAGACCAGCACUUCCCAAAGCGCCAUCAUCACAAGAAAACAUGGUUGCCU